Molecule: ribosomal RNA, 387 nt
Filed under: Acinetobacter baumannii
Lineage: Bacteria; Pseudomonadati; Pseudomonadota; Gammaproteobacteria; Moraxellales; Moraxellaceae
Description: bacterial SSU rRNA
Rfam family: Bacterial small subunit ribosomal RNA
Source: RNAcentral
UAACUGAAGAGUUUGAUCAUGGCUCAGAUUGAACGCUGGCGGCAGGCUUAACACAUGCAAGUCGAGCGGGGGAAGGUAGCUUGCUACCGGACCUAGCGGCGGACGGGUGAGUAAUGCUUAGGAAUCUGCCUAUUAGUGGGGGACAACAUCUCGAAAGGGAUGCUAAUACCGCAUACGUCCUACGGGAGAAAGCAGGGGAUCUUCGGACCUUGCGCUAAUAGAUGAGCCUAAGUCGGAUUAGCUAGUUGGUGGGGUAAAGGCCUACCAAGGCGACGAUCUGUAGCGGGUCUGAGAGGAUGAUCCGCCACACUGGGACUGAGACACGGCCCAGACUCCUACGGGAGGCAGCAGUGGGGAAUAUUGGACAAUGGGGGGAACCCUGAUCCA